AGUGGUUAAAUGCUUGGUUGCUAACCAAAAGGUAGGUGGUUCGAAUCCACCAGCCACUU
Transfer RNA from Loxodonta africana (African savanna elephant), 59 nucleotides. It matches the Rfam family "tRNA". From Rfam's summary of the family: Transfer RNA (tRNA) molecules are approximately 80 nucleotides in length. NCBI's taxonomy places the organism in Eukaryota, Metazoa, Chordata, Mammalia, Proboscidea, Elephantidae. The record is from Rfam.